CGGCGUAGCUCGCUUGCUGAGCUAGUAAGUGGCGCACGGGUGAGUAACGCGUGGGUAACCUACCUCCGAAUUGGGGAUAACAUUGCGAAAGCGAUGCUAAUACCGGAUAACAUCCUGGCAACCUCGGCUGCCAGGAUCAAAGGUGGCCUCUACAUGUAAGCUACUGUUUGGAGAGGGGCCCGCGUCCCAUUAGCUUGUUGGUGGGGUAAUGGCCUACCAAGGCGACGAUGGGUAGCUGGUCUGAGAGGAUGAUCAGCCACACUGGAACUGACACACGGUCCAGACUCCUACGGGAGGCAGCAGUGAGGAAUCUUGCGCAAUGGGCGAAAGCCUGACGCAGCAACGCCGCGUGAGUGAUGAAGGCUUUCGGGUCGUAAAGCUCUGUCAAGUGGGAAGAACCCAUGUGAUGCUAAUAUCAUCAUGUGCUGACGGUACCACUGAAGGAAGCACCGGCUAACUCCGUGCCAGCAGCCGCGGUAACACGGGGGGUGCAAGCGUUACUCGGAAUUACUGGGCGUAAAGAGCGCGUAGGCGGUUUCCUAAGUCAGGUGUGAAGGCCCGGGGCUUAACCCCGGAAGUGCAUUUGAUACUGGGUGACUUGAGUAUGGGAGAGGGAAGUGGAAUUCCUGGUGUAGCGGUGAAAUGCGUA
This 649-nucleotide ribosomal RNA is filed under the name uncultured bacterium. RNAcentral describes it as "bacterial SSU rRNA". It matches the Rfam family "Bacterial small subunit ribosomal RNA", at positions 67 to 692 of the family's 1533-position model. The record is from RNAcentral.